CCUACGGGUGGCAGCAGUGAGGAAUAUUGCUCAAUGGUCGGGAGACUGAACCAGCCACGCCGCGUGAGGGAUGAAGGUACAGAGUAUCGUAAACCUCUUUUGUCAGGGAACAAAGGCGGGGACGCGUCCCCGGAUGAGUGUACCUGAAGAAAAAGCAUCGGCUAACUCCGUGCCAGCAGCCGCGGUAAUACGGGGGAUGCGAGGGUUAUCCGGAUUGAUUGGGGUAAAGGGGUGCGCAGGCGGUCGGUUAGGUCAGCGGGAAAAGCCCGGGGCGAAACCCAGACCCGCCGUUGAAUCUGGCAGUCUCGAGUUGGAGAGAGGUAUGCGGAAUGCGCGGUGUAGCGGUGAAAUGCAUAGAUAUCGCGCAGAACUCCGAUUGCGAAGGCAGCAUGCCGGCUCCACACUGACGCUGAGGCACGAAAGCGUGGGUAUCGAACAGGAUUAGAUACCCUUGUAGUC
Molecule: ribosomal RNA, 459 nt
Filed under: uncultured bacterium
Lineage: Bacteria
Description: partial 16S ribosomal RNA
Rfam family: Bacterial small subunit ribosomal RNA
Source: RNAcentral